GUAAGGAGUUUUCGGCAAUGGGGGGAACCCUGACCGAGCAACGCCGCGUGAGUGAUGACGGCCCUAUGGGUUGUAAAGCUCUGUUAUAAGGGACGAACAGCUUUGCUAGGAAAUGAGCAGAGUCUGACGGUACUUUAUCAGAAAGCCACGGCUAACUACGUGCCAGCAGCCGCGGUAAUACGUAGGUGGCAAGCGUUAUCCGGAAUUAUUGGGCGUAAAGAGUGAGCAGGCGGCAGAUUAAGUUUGAGGUUAAAGCGUGGGGCUCAACCCCAUAAAGCCUUGAAAACUGAUCAGCUAGAGUACGAGAGAUGUGAAGGGAACUCCAUGUGUAGCGGUGAAAUGCGUAGAUAUAUGGAAGAACACCAGUGGCGAAGGCGCUUCACACGCUCGAAACUGACGCUCAGUCACGAAAGCGUGGGUAGCAAAUAGGAUUAGAAACCCCAGUAGUCC
RNAcentral lists this ribosomal RNA (450 nucleotides) under uncultured bacterium. RNAcentral describes it as "partial 16S ribosomal RNA". It matches the Rfam family "Bacterial small subunit ribosomal RNA", at positions 354 to 796 of the family's 1533-position model. The record is from RNAcentral.